CCAUGGCAGAUGUAAUACUCACAGUAGUUAUGGCUUCGAGUAUAGCCAUCUUCUAUGCAGGGAGGCCAUUUUACCGUUACAGGAAGACGACUGGAAGUCCAUUUAUACCCAUGCUAAACGUGCUUGUAGCUGCAAUUAGAAAAAGAAACCUUCAACUUCCUUCAAAUCCUUCUCAUCUACACGAUGUUCCGAAGUCAGAGACUACCCAAAGAAGGCUCUUAGGCCACACCAAAAGGCUGAAGUAAGAUUCGAACAUAGUCAUUAUCAGGUCAUUCAAUUACUCAGGAGAGUUGGAAUAUGGUAUUGAAAACAAUUUUUGAUUCUACUUGACAGGUUCCUUGAUAAAGCUGCAAUCCUAGAUGUCACACAAGAUUCAAUAGAACAGCAACAGAAUCCAUGGAAACUUGCAACUGUCACCAAGGUGGAAGAACUGAAGCUAAUUAUCAACAUGAUUCCUAUUUGGCUAACCACUUUACCAUUUGGUAUAUGUGUAGCACAAGCCGCAACUUUUUUCAUAAAACAAGGUGUGACAAUGAAUCGGAAGAUCAUUCACAAUUUCGAGAUCCCCCCAGCCUCAAUUUAUGCCCUGACAGCUGUUGGCAUGAUAAUAGCCGUCACUAUCUAUGACAAAAUCCUUGUGCCUUUCCUGAGAAGGACAACAGGAAAUGAGAGAGGCAUAAGUAUUCUCCAAAGGAUCGGUAUUGGAAUGAUCUUCUCGAUUUCUACUAUGGUAGUUGCAGCUUUGGUUGAGAGAAAGAGACUGAAUGUUGUUCAUAGAAAUCCAUUAGAGGGUUCGGCUUCAAUGAGUGUGUUUUGGCUAGCCCCACAAUUCCUUAUCCUUGGAAUAGGAGAUGGAUUUUCCCUUGUGGGAUUGCAAGAAUACUUCUACGAUCAAGUACCUGACUCCAUGAGAAGCUUGGGCAUUGCAUUAUAUCUUAGUGUAAUUGGUGCUGCAAAUUUCAUUAGCAGCCUCUUGAUAACCAUUGUGGAUCAUAUCACAGAGGAAAGUGGCAAGAGUUGGUUCGGAAAGGAUACACAAGCCUUCUCUUGAGAGCUUUGGAGCUGAUCAGUUUGAUGAUGAAAAUCCCAAAGAAAGAAGGAAAAAGAUGUCUUUUUUCAACUGGUGGAACUUUGGGCUAUGCUGUGGACUAUUACUUGGUGUGACGCUUAUCGUUUAUGUCCAAGAGCAUGUUAGCUGGGCCAUGGCAGAUGUAAUACUCACAGUAGUUAUGGCUUCGAGUAUAGCCAUCUUCUAUGCAGGGAGGCCAUUUUACCGUUACAGGAAGACGACUGGAAGUCCAUUUAUACCCAUGCUAAACGUGCUUGUAGCUGCAAUUAGAAAAAGAAACCUUCAACUUCCUUCAAAUCCUUCUCAUCUACACGAUGUUCCGAAGUCAGAGACUACCCAAAGAAGGCUCUUAGGCCACACCAAAAGGCUGAAGUAAGAUUCGAACAUAGUCAUUAUCAGGUCAUUCAAUUACUCAGGAGAGUUGGAAUAUGG
This 1501-nucleotide long non-coding RNA is filed under the name Capsicum annuum. Its description in RNAcentral is "long non-coding RNA (CANN_LNC016268)". Lineage: Eukaryota; Viridiplantae; Streptophyta; Magnoliopsida; Solanales; Solanaceae. The record is from RNAcentral.